This 58-nucleotide transfer RNA is filed under the name Bacillus thuringiensis serovar aizawai str. Leapi01. RNAcentral's name for it is "tRNA-Pro". It matches the Rfam family "tRNA", at positions 1 to 55 of the family's 71-position model. Rfam says of the family: Transfer RNA (tRNA) molecules are approximately 80 nucleotides in length. Their secondary structure includes four short double-helical elements and three loops (D, anti-codon, and T loops). Further hydrogen bonds mediate the characteristic L-shaped molecular structure. tRNAs have two regions of fundamental functional importance: the anti-codon, which is responsible for specific mRNA codon recognition, and the 3' end, to which the tRNAs corresponding amino acid is attached (by aminoacyl-tRNA synthetases). tRNAs cope with the degeneracy of the genetic code in two manners: having more than one tRNA (with a specific anti-codon) for a particular amino acid; and 'wobble' base-pairing, i.e. permitting non-standard base-pairing at the 3rd anti-codon position. The record is from RNAcentral. Lineage: Bacteria; Bacillati; Bacillota; Bacilli; Caryophanales; Bacillaceae.
CGGGAAGUGGCUCAGCUUGGUAGAGCACCUGGUUUGGGACCAGGGGGUCGCAGGUUCA